RNAcentral lists this ribosomal RNA (305 nucleotides) under uncultured Pseudomonadota bacterium. RNAcentral's name for it is "bacterial SSU rRNA". It matches the Rfam family "Bacterial small subunit ribosomal RNA", at positions 28 to 351 of the family's 1533-position model. Lineage: Bacteria; Pseudomonadati; Pseudomonadota. The record is from RNAcentral.
GACGAACGCUGGCGGCAGGCCUAACACAUGCAAGUCGAACGGGAUCUCUAGCUUGCUAGAGUGAGAGUGGCGCAAGGGUGAGUAACACGUGGGAAUCUACCAUGGUGUCUGGGACAACUUCUGGAAACGGGAGCUAAUACCGGAUAAUCCCUUCGGGGGAAAGAUUUAUCGCACUAUGAUGAGCCCGCGGCAGAUUAGCUAGUUGGUGAGGUAAGAGCUCACCAAGGCAACGAUCUGUAGCUGGUCUGAGAGGAUGAACAGCCACACUGGAACUGAGACACGGUCCAGACUCCUACGGGAGGCUG